RNAcentral lists this ribosomal RNA (375 nucleotides) under uncultured eukaryote. Its description in RNAcentral is "partial 18S ribosomal RNA". It matches the Rfam family "Eukaryotic small subunit ribosomal RNA", at positions 592 to 976 of the family's 1831-position model. The record is from RNAcentral.
CAAUAGCGUAUAUUUAAGUUGUUGCAGUUAAAAAGCUCGUAGUUGGAUUUUGGUUAAGAGCGACCGGUCCGCCGUUUGGUGUGCACUGGUUGGUUUUAACUUCCUGUAGAGGACGUGCUCUGGGUUUAACGACCUGGACUCGGAGUCUACGUGGUUACUUUGAAAAAAUUAGAGUGUUCAAAGCGGGCUUACGCUUGAAUAUUUCAGCAUGGAAUAACACUAUAGGACUCCUGUCCUAUUUCGUUGGUCUCGGGACGGGAGUAAUGAUUAAGAGGAACAGUUGGGGGCAUUCGUAUUUCAUUGUCAGAGGUGAAAUUCUUGGAUUUAUGAAAGACGAACUUCUGCGAAAGCAUUUGCCAAGGAUGUUUUCAUUAA